RNAcentral lists this RNase P RNA (317 nucleotides) under Sphenodon punctatus (tuatara). Its description in RNAcentral is "Nuclear RNase P (ENSSPUG00000001172.1)". It matches the Rfam family "Nuclear RNase P". Rfam says of the family: Ribonuclease P (RNase P) is a ubiquitous endoribonuclease, found in archaea, bacteria and eukarya as well as chloroplasts and mitochondria. Lineage: Eukaryota; Metazoa; Chordata; Lepidosauria; Sphenodontia; Sphenodontidae. The record is from Rfam by way of RNAcentral.
GUCGGAGGAAGCUCGCCUUAGAGGCCACGUGCUGGGUGCGCGUCACCCACCCGCCUCUGGGAAGGUCUGAGACAAGGGCCAGUAGCCGCCCUUGCAGGGCGCCACCCCACGCGGGUGGGGGAGUCCCCAGGCAGGUGGGCCCCGCGGCGGGGUCGCAGCUUCGGGCAGGAGAAGUGGGGCGUCUACCCUUGUGGCAGCCCCCACGGAUGCCCUGCCCCGCUCGGGGCUUGGGACAGACUCCCGGCCGGCAACGCUGAGUGCAAUGAGGUGAGAUGGGACAUGCCCCACAACCCAAUUCAGACUAGUCUCCUUCCGGC